UACAGAGGGUGCGAGCGUUAAUCGGAAUUACUGGGCGUAAAGCGUGCGUAGACGGUUAUGUAAGUCGGAUGUGAAAGCCCCGGGCUCAACCUGGGAAUGGCAUUCGAGACUGCAUAGCUAGGAUGCGGAAGAGGGAAGCGGAAUUUCCGGUGUAGCGGUGAAAUGCGUAGAUAUCGGAAGGAACACCAGUGGCGAAAGCGGCUUCCUGGUCCAGCAUCGACGUUCAGGCACGAAAGCGUGGGGAGCAAACAGG
RNAcentral lists this ribosomal RNA (253 nucleotides) under uncultured bacterium. RNAcentral's name for it is "partial 16S ribosomal RNA". It matches the Rfam family "Bacterial small subunit ribosomal RNA", at positions 524 to 776 of the family's 1533-position model. The record is from RNAcentral.